This 330-nucleotide ribosomal RNA is filed under the name Triticum aestivum (bread wheat). RNAcentral describes it as "partial small subunit ribosomal RNA". Lineage: Eukaryota; Viridiplantae; Streptophyta; Magnoliopsida; Poales; Poaceae. The record is from RNAcentral.
AUGGCCAGGAGGCGAUCGACGGGGAGAACUUCGGGUCCCGUCGACGUCGACGUCGACAUCGACGGAAUCCCCAGCCUGACCCGAGCGAGCACGGGGACGGGGAAUCGCUGGUUGGUGCUGCUUGCGCGACCUCGCGUACGCUAUCAGCGCCGCAGGGGUGGCACCCCACCCUGUGCAAUGGAGGUGCUCGACGAAAUGUCGAACCGGACCUUGACGCUCCAGGCUCAGCAGUGCACGCUCCACAGGCGAUCGACACAAUGCCUGAGUGGAGCAGCUGUCUCUGGGGUCGGCUGCUCGGGCGUGCCCGGUAUGCUGCUGCGCUUGUACUAA